UUGUGGAAUUUGAAGACUUCAACUUGUAUACUUGAAGAAUUUGAAGACUUUAACUCGCAUACUUGUCUGAGUUUAAAGACGUCAAGC
Molecule: microRNA precursor, 87 nt
Filed under: Solanum tuberosum (potato)
Lineage: Eukaryota; Viridiplantae; Streptophyta; Magnoliopsida; Solanales; Solanaceae
Description: MIR8024 microRNA precursor family
Rfam family: MIR8024 microRNA precursor family
Source: Rfam by way of RNAcentral